CCCACUCACCUGUCAAUCCGGCACAGCCCUGAUACGCCUCCAAAAAUCUACAGCAGGCAGUGGGGAACUUCUUCCUCUUGUUUCCUAGCUUCUUGCCCAACUGUGACAUGCAUUUACAAUACAUUUAGUCUUGUAUCAAGGGCCAUAAUCUACGUGCCAAUUAUAAUAUAGGAAACUUUAAUUGAUUCAACUCCCCCGUUCCCUAAAUCUUUUCUUUUCUUUCUCUUUUUCUUUUUCUAUUAAUUAACUCAUCAUUUAUGUAUAUUAGGGACUCCCUUGCACGAGUACAAGGUUUCCCUUAGCCUAAUCUAGGCUUAAUACCCUAUUUUGGCAUAAAAUUUCUUAUUUUCCCACUCGGAUGAACAGUAACCUGGACCGACAGCCGGUUACUUCAUCCCGGGUUUGAUCUACUUUUAGGACUCCAAAUUUGAUGAAAUUUUUACCUAACAUUCUACACUCAUAGAGGAUUCCAAAGAG
Molecule: long non-coding RNA, 477 nt
Filed under: Phoenix dactylifera (date palm)
Lineage: Eukaryota; Viridiplantae; Streptophyta; Magnoliopsida; Arecales; Arecaceae
Description: long non-coding RNA (PDAC_LNC022619)
Source: RNAcentral